This 871-nucleotide ribosomal RNA is filed under the name uncultured bacterium. Its description in RNAcentral is "bacterial SSU rRNA". It matches the Rfam family "Bacterial small subunit ribosomal RNA", at positions 8 to 914 of the family's 1533-position model. The record is from RNAcentral.
AGAGUUUGAUCCUGGCUCAGAACGAACGCUGGCGGCAGGCUUAACACAUGCAAGUCGAACGAGAAGCUAGAGCUUGCUCUAGUGGACAGUGGCAGACGGGUGAGUAACGCGUGGGAACCUACCUAGUGGUACGGAAUAACUCAGGGAAACUUGUGCUAAUACCGUAUGAGCCCUUCGGGGGAAAGAUUUAUCGCCAUUAGAUGGGCCCGCGUCAGAUUAGCUAGUUGGUGAGGUAAUGGCUCACCAAGGCGACGAUCUGUAGCUGGUCUGAGAGGAUGAUCAGCCACACUGGGACUGAGACACGGCCCAGACUCCUACGGGAGGCAGCAGUGGGGAAUAUUGCACAAUGGGCGAAAGCCUGAUGCAGCCAUGCCGCGUGAGUGAUGAAGGCCUUAGGGUUGUAAAGCUCUUUCACCGGUGAAGAUAAUGACGGUAACCGGAGAAGAAGCCCCGGCUAACUUCGUGCCAGCAGCCGCGGUAAUACGAAGGGGGCUAGCGUUGUUCGGAAUCACUGGGCGUAAAGCGCGCGUAGGCGGACUAUUAAGUCAGGGGUGAAAUCCCGAGGCUCAACCUCGGAACUGCCUUUGAUACUGACGGUCUCGAGUCCGGGAGAGGUGAGUGGAACUCCUAGUGUAGAGGUGAAAUUCGUAGAUAUUAGGAAGAACACCAGUGGCGAAGGCGGCUCACUGGCCCGGUACUGACGCUGAGGCGCGAAAGCGUGGGGAGCAAACAGGAUUAGAUACCCUGGUAGUCCACGCCGUAAACGAUGGAUGCCAGCUGUCGGGCAGUAUACUGUUCGGUGGCGCAGUUAACGCAUUAAGCAUCCCGCCUGGGGAGUACGGUCGCAAGAUUAAAACUCAAAGGAAUUGAC